Molecule: ribosomal RNA, 253 nt
Filed under: uncultured bacterium
Lineage: Bacteria
Description: partial 16S ribosomal RNA
Rfam family: Bacterial small subunit ribosomal RNA
Source: RNAcentral
UACGUAGGUGGCAAGCGUUGUUCGGAAUUACUGGGCGUAAAGGGCGCGUAGGCGGCCCGUCAAGUCCCGUGUGAAAGCCCCCGGCUCAACUGGGGAGGGUCACGCGAUACUGUUCGACUUGAAGGCAGGAGAGGGAAGUGGAAUUCCCGGUGUAGUGGUGAAAUGCGUAGAUAUCGGGAGGAACACCAGUGGCGAAGGCGACUUCCUGGCCUGUUCUUGACGCUGAGGCGCGAAAGCUAGGGUAGCAAACGGG